CAUUUUCAUGAGAGUUCCCCUAUUACCGAAUAUUUUGCUUGUCUGUGCUCGUUUGAUAAUUUGUUUAAUUUAAAUGCUCAUGAAAAUGCAUGGAUUUGCAGAAAAACUGACUUCUUUAACACUUACUGUAUUCAACUGUACAAACAAUGUGGCUUUGAAAUGAAGAAAAUAUAAAACUAUAAAAUAAGAAAAAUGAAGAGCAUGGGUGUGUAUGUGUGGGAGGUGAACAUGUGUGGAGGUGAUGGGCUGAAACUGCUGUGCUCCCUCCUCCAUGUGACAGAUGUCAUGGCAUACACACAGUGCAAUGUGGCAGCCACACAUCUGUGAGUGAACACAGUUGAACGUGUUACACAUAAACGAGGUUCUACUUCUACUUACAUAUAUAUAGUAGUGGUGUGUGUGACAUUUAUUGUGAGAGGGAGAGAUAAUGUGUAUAAGACAGUGACUGUAUUGUAUGUACAUGACAAUAGAUUUACUAACAUACUGCAUGGAUUGGUUUUCUUUGUACAAGAGGAAUUUUUUAAGGGUUUGAAAUGUUUGUGAAUAAAUUCUCCUUUAACAAUAUUGUCAUUAUGACACUGGAGCUGGGACAGAAGCCUUUCUGUUGAAUUGUUUAUUAUGAGCACUAGCAUAACCAACAAGCAUAUAUGUGCACAGCGGAUGCACAUGAGUGCACUACAGGCUGACGACACUGCACAGCAUGAAUUUCAGUAUCACUGUUAGAAUCAGUAGAUUCAUUAAACUUAGUAGCUGUUUAUAUUAUCAGUGUUAAUAUUGUAAAUGUUAUUACUUAGUUGGCAAGGUAACCAAUUUGUAUUCCUAGGAAAAGGGUUAGGGAAGCUGCAUUCCAAGUAUAGGUAAUCACAUGCACACUGCUGAAGAGAUGUUUAUUUACAUUAUUUUAUGGUCAGCUGUUGAGCCACCAUCAGCAGUGCCUCCUUCUAAGGGCCAACCCCAUACGUUGCCCCGAGAGCAUGAUGAGAGUGCAGCAGUGCGGGGGGGUAGUGCACCUAGCACCCCACGACCCCCUUCCACACCCGCCACCCCCACUCCUGCGUCCAGCGCAGUCCGAUGGCGUCCUGUCUCUGCCACCCUCCCACCACAGUCAUCCAUGUCACCCAUCUCUUCGCCCCCCACUCCUGCUAGUAAGGAGUCGCGACGGAGGGUGCGUUCUAGGUCGAAGUCUCCAUUCCGCUCUUUCCGCUGGAAGAAAUCCAAGUCUUCUCCAUCCGAAGCACCGGGUAGUGCAUCUGACGAUGAAUCGAAUCUGGAGAGGGCAGCAGAACGACCAAGCCCCAGUGGAGAUGAAGAUCAGCUUGAAGGCAGUUUGGUGCGUAAACAUGAAUGGGAGUCCACCACAAAGAAGGCUUCUAACCGUUCUUGGGACAAAGUGUUCCUGGUGCUGCGUGCAAACAUGUUGUUGUUCUACAAAGAUCGCAAGAGCUACCAGGCUGCUCCUGAAGUAUACUUCAGGGCUGAGGCUCCAUGUGAUGUUUCAGGUGGACAAGCAUCAAUUGCAGAUGACUACACUAAGAAGAAGAAUGUCCUGCGACUCAAAACAAAAAAGCGGGGAUUGCUUGGUGGUGCUGAGUACUUGUUCCAAGCCAAAGAUGAAGAAGAGUUGGGAGUUUGGGUUGGAGCUCUCCAAGCAGCUACGACCUCAGAAGGAUCAGCUGGUCCUUCCCGUUCCCAAACUCUCCCGGCAGGCUCUGAGAAGAAGGAUGAACCCAAACGACGCAGCUUCUUCACCCUCAAGAAGAAAUAAUAGAGUGGAUGUCCAUAUCUGUACACUCUCCCUAUUCCUUUUCUUCUUUUCUCAGCCUACACUUUCCUUUCUUUCUUCAUUCUUCAUUUCCUUUCCCAAGUCUCCUUUAGCAAUAUCUUAAGACUAUUCCAAGCCCAAUUUCAGACCCAGUGUGGAAUAAACAUGGGAGUUGGAAUGCUAGUGCUGGUCUGGGCUUGUAUUAUUGGCUGCUGUUUUAUUGCUACUGGGAUUGGAACAGAAAUCGAAUUUGCUUUGGCAUCAUCAGCUUCUCUUUAUGCAAUGUUUCCCAGGCUGGGUCUGAACAGCAGCAUCAUGAAAUCAUGUUCAUUUUCGUACAUCCAAUUUUUAUUCCCCUAACUUGAAUUACAUUAAUGAUACCACAAUUGGUAUUAUAUUUUCCCAUGGAAUAUAAAGUGUUGAUAGUUUUGUGUAAUAGCUCUGGUGGAAGAAUAUGUGAGUCUGUGCAGUUCCCAAAUGUUGUCUGCCUAGCACUGCCAUGGCUGAGUUUUCCGAUGAGUGUUCCUCUUUUUGUAGGGGAUUGUGUGUGGAAUUGUAUAUUUAGUGUUAUGUCAGAUGUCCCUUACUUUAUGAAAGUAAUGAUUUGUUAAUUUUAUCUGUCUUUAGCUGUAGUACCACAGUUUUGAUUAGAUAGCACUUAAUUGUAUUGUACAGAAAUGAUAGAAUGAUACCUAUUAUGCUGCUUUAUGCUUACAUUUUUAGACAUAUAAUAUUUCAUGUACCACUUCAUAGUUGUUCAAAUCAUUACCAGAGUAUGGAAGGCCAGCCAGUAUCAUAAUUUUUGUGAAUGGGCAAAUUCAUUCUGCUUCAAAGUGUAGGUGUGGCACAGUUAUAUUCCUUUAUAUUCUUGAAAAUUUUCAACCUCAUCUGGUCUUAUCCUACAAAACCAAGUUCACCAUCUCUACAUCAGCAAUGAAUUGAAGACUCCAGGAAUUGCUCUUGGACCAGCCACCUUCUACCAGAUGGCCAGUUUUCUCAUGUGGUCAAGAUGAACACGGUUGGGAGGUGAGCUUCCUUGUUCCCCUGGCUCUUGGUAGCAGGUGGUUGCUGGAAUGGGAGUUCCACUACAGUAUAUACUUUACUGUACUGCACUGUACAAUGAAGUUUACAAGCCGUGACUGCAAGUGUAGAUUUCCUGGCUGCCUCCCUUCAUUUUUUAUAUACUGAUAUUUGGAUUUAUGAGCUAAAAAGUUAACUAGGUCAGCAUGAUGCAACAAGAUGAUUUUCUGGUUAAUGCCCUGUCUUCUUGUUCUUCAUAAUACAGUGCUGCCAAUUUGGGUAUUUUGUGUCCUUUGACAAUCCAAGGUCAUUGAUACUGCACUGGAAUAUUAACCUUAAUGGGUACACUGAUCAUUGUCACCUGAACAAAUUUUCACAGUAACAAAUGUCACCCAUUCUAGCAUACGGAGUAGCUUGAACUCUAUUGGAUUGGUAAAUAUUGCCAAACAAACCUAAAAAAAAUUAAACAUACUGGUAGGCAUAAUUUCAGCUCAAAUAGCUGGUACUACUAAGAACUAGAGUAAUUCUUCAUGUAUUAGAACUGGAAUUGAACACUUAGUUUUGUUAAUGUAUAAAAGCAGCCUAAGGUAGAGAGAGUAUUGAGGCAUUAGUUUUCAUUGGUAUAGGGCUAGGAGCUGGAUCAUAGAUGUUUGGGCCAUGAACAAUAUUAUCUGGUAGGAAGUGUGGUUAUUGUAAGCUUGUACUUGAUAUCCCUGUUUUAAACAAAAGGGUAUAAUGAAGAGGUGGGGAUGAUUGGAUACAUGCCUAUUUAAGUUAUGCAUUACCCUUGACUGAAUGAUUGCCAGUUUUUUAAGGACACAACUGAUCCAAUAGGCAGCCUUUAUUAAGAGUACGGUAACAAUGUGGCUACAAGGCCAGCCAGAAGAAGGGAUUUAAGAAUCAAAUCUCCAUUUUUGCAAAGGCAAAGGACAAACAUUAUUCUGUAAUAUAUGAUGUUAAAAUAUGUACAGGUUACUAUAAGUGAGGGCAAUAUAUACAGUACGAUGGUCUAUGAUGCCUGUAAAAGCUUAAUUGCUUUAAUUUUUUAUUUAUGGAUGAACAUGUUGAGGUUAAUUUCUUAAAUACUUACUCUUUUAUACAUUCAUAAUCUGCAGAUUAUUAUUUUUUUCUACAGACUAUCUUAGCUUAUAAUUUCAAAAGACUUAAUUUUACACAAAAUUUAGUUUUAUUCACAUUUAGAAAAAAAUUAUGUUCAAGAUUUCUCUCCUUUCUCAUUCUAUAUUUUGAACAUACUGUACUGUAUUUCAGGCAUUAAAUAAUUUACAAUUUCUUAGCUUUUUCAUAAUUUUCUUUUUACUUUUCCUAUUUACUAUAUAAGGGAAAGGAAUACUAUUCAUGUGUUGUACUCUCCUCAGAAAUAAAUAAUGCCGUUU
This is an RNA transcript of Homarus americanus (American lobster), 4176 nucleotides long. It is a transcript of the gene named spectrin beta chain-like, with no coding region annotated. The transcript has 8 exons. The record is from RefSeq and is a predicted model, not a curated record. NCBI's taxonomy places the organism in Eukaryota, Metazoa, Arthropoda, Malacostraca, Decapoda, Nephropidae.